Molecule: long non-coding RNA, 6522 nt
Filed under: Homo sapiens (human)
Lineage: Eukaryota; Metazoa; Chordata; Mammalia; Primates; Hominidae
Description: non-protein coding lnc-NTSR2-2:2
Source: RNAcentral
AGGGCCUGCUGGCCGGCCCUGCCCGCUCACCCCUGGCCGCCUAUCUUAGCGUUCCUGGGGGUGGGGCCCCUUAGGCCGCCUUUCUGAUUUUCCUUUCCAGAGCCAAACUCGUGUGUUUCUUCAACACUCUGACUUGACCUAUGCCGAUGACUGGGGGAGUGAGGACGGAGGGGUGCAGAGAAAAGGCAGCCAGUGUCUCUCGAGAAUGAAAAUGACCAGGCCAUCCUCACAUUCUACAGAGGUUAACCCAGCAACUUAGGGACACAGCUGGGGCAGGACUCCCGGGCUCCUGGUCAGUCCCUCUAUGGGGAUGCUAAGCCUCAGGGCUGACAUCUCUUAGCUCUGCCUUCCAGGGAGAAUUUCACAGGGCCUCCCAUUUGUGCUGCUGUGAAGGCCGUCCUGCUCCUUGUCAAGCCUGUCUUCUCCGUGGCUUGAGGAAGAUCUCUUUCGUGCCCAAAUUGUGAAUAAGUAAACUGGAUGCAGCAUCUCUGAUUGCUCUGGGAAGAAAUUUAUGAGAAGUGCCUGAGAAAAGUCAUGAUUUUAUGCCUCUGCUAAGCAACCUGUUGGACACUGCUUGGUAUCUACAGCUAAGUGGUUCCCUGUUCAGACCUGCUUCCUCUGAUUAGCAGCCACAGAUCUUCUGGGUUUUCACUUGUUUAUUUCUGUUUAUUGUCAUCUCUGGGAAGAUGGCUUCAAAUUUUUUAUCCCCCAAUUAUUUAACCCCAUAUCAAUUGAUAAGAAGAUCUUUUCUUUCUUUCUUUCUUUCUUUCUUUUCUUUUCUUUCUUUCUUCCUUUUUUUUUUUUUUUUUUUCGAGAUAGAGCCUCACUGUGUCACCCAGGCUGGAGUGCAGUGGGGUGAUCUUGGCUCACUGCAACCUCCACCUACCAGGUUCAAGCAAUCCUCCUGCCACAGCCUCCCAAGUAGCUGGGAUUACAGAUGAGUCCCACCACACCCAGCUAAUUUUUGUAUUUUUUUUUAUAGAGACAGGGUUUCGCCAUGUUGCUUAGGCUUGUCUGGAACUCCUGAGCUCAAAUGAUCUGCCUGCUUCGACCUCGCAAAGUGCGGGGAAGUUAUAAUUGAAGGGUGUGAUGGUUAAUUUUUGGUGUCAACUUGACUGGGUUAAGGGAUACCCAGAUAGCUGGUACAGCAUUGUCUCUGGGGAUGUCUUUGAGUGUGUUUCUGGUAGAGGUUGGCAUUUGGAUCAGUGAACUGAGUGAGGAAGGAAGAUUCAUCCUCACCUGUGUGGGCUGGGCUCCAUCCAAUCAGUUGAAUUCCUCAAUAGAACAAAAGGGCUGAGGAAAGGCAAAUUCACUCCCUUUUCUGAAGCUGGGACACCCUCCUUCUCCCGCGCUUGGACAUCAGCACUCCAGGGUCUCCAGCCGUCGGACUCCAGGACCUGCACCGAUGGCCCCUCAGGUUCUCAGGCCUUUGCACUCAGACUGAGCUAUGUCACCAGCUUCCCUGGUUCUCUAGCUUGUAGACAGCAAAUCAUAGGACUUCUCAGCCUCCAUAAUCAUGUGAGCCAAUUUCCAAAUUAAAUCCCCUCUCAUUUAUCUAUAUCUCUAUCUAUCUUAUUUGGUUGUUUCUCUGGAGAAUCCUGAUACAAAGGGUUUACAUUGAAUGUCAUUCGCAUAUGGUUAUAUAAAUAGUAGCCGUUUUAACACCCUCAUCUAAUUCUAUCAUGAAUGUCAUUUCUGGAUCUGUUUAUAUUGAUUGAUUUUUCUCCAGAUCCUAGGUCAUAUUAUCCUGCUUCUUUGCAAGCCCAGUAUUUUUGUUUGGACACGGGACAUUGUCAGUUUUGUACUGUUGGUGGCUAGAUUUUAUUAUAUUCCUUUAAACAGUGUUGUGCUUUGUUCUGAGAUGCAGUAAAGUUACUUACGAUUAGUUUGAUCUUUUUGAGCCUUGAUGUUCAACAUUGUUACGGCAGAUCCAGAACAGCCUUUGUUUUAGGACUAAUUUGUCACCUCUUUGAGGCAAUUCUCUUCUACUUUUCUCCUCGAUGUCCUGAAUUUUAGGGGGUCUUCCCAGUCUGGCUGAUGGAAAUGUAGUUUUUGUUGCAUAAAAUUUACCUCAAAACUUAGCAGCUUGAAUCAACAGGUAUUUAUUCCCUGCAGUUUCUUGUGUCAGGAAUCCAGGAGUGGCCCAGCUGGUGGCUCUAACUCAAGCUCUCUCGUGAGGUCGCAGUCAAGGUGAUGGCUGGAUUGGAGCCCUCUGACUGGGGCCAAAGGAUCUGCCUCCAGGACGGUGACUCACAUGGCUGUAGCCAGGGGCUCCAUUUCUUGCCUCAUGGACCUGUCCGGAGGCUGAUUGAGCAAUACAGCUUCUGGCUUUCCCCCAGAGGGGCUGACCCAAGAGAGAGCAAGCAGGAGCCACAAGGCUUUCUACACCCUAGUCUCUAAAGUCACAAACCAUCAUCGUCACUUUCACCACAUUCUGUCCUUUAGAAACAUAUUAGUAAGCCCAGCCCACAUUCAAGGGAGGUAGGUGUAGGCGCCUCUUUUUGAAAGGAAGACUAUCAGAUAAUUUAGGGAUCUAUUUCUAAGCUGCUCUCACAGACACACAAUAUCCCCAGGCCUGAGUGAUUUCUGGAGAUCGUUCUGCCUGCAAGCUCCUUCCUUGGUGGUUUCCUCACAUUCAUGUGCAGACCAGUACUCAGCUGAAGACUCAAGGCACUCCUUGCAGAUCUCUGAACCAUUCUCUGUGGCUCCUUCUUCUGCAGAUCUCUGCCCUGCAAAUUCUAGCUCCCUUGGCCUCCCGGAAGCCCACACUCCAUCUCCUGAGCUGGGCAGGCCCUCAGGCUCUGUUUGGGCUCCCUCUCCUGGCACUGCUGAGGUGGACACUUGUGAGGCUGCUCUUAUUGCUUCCCCUCUCCCAGGAAUCCCUGUCCUGUUCUGCCUAUUGUCCAGUGUCCACUAACUGUUGUUUCACAUACUUGUCCAGCUUUCCGGCUGUUUUUAAGACAGGAGGGUAAACCUGCUCCCUGUUAUUCCAUCAGGACCAGAAGUGGGACUCCCCAGCAGCGGUGCUGGCUCCUGAAAAUGAGUCAGCGGCCAUGUAGCAGAGGGGAGACUGACACCCUCCCCUCUUCUUCUUCUUUUUUUUUUUUUUUAAUUAUACCUUAAGUUGUGGGAUACAUGUGCAGAACGUGCGGGUUUGUUAUAUAGGUAUACACAUGCCAUGGUGAUUUGCUGCACCCAUCAACUCAUCAUCUACAUUAGGUGUUUCUCCUAAUGCUAUCCCUCCCCUAGCCCCCCACUCCCCAACAGGCCCCAGUGUGUGAUGUUCCCCUCCCUGUGUCCAUGUGUUCUCAUUAUUCAACUCCCACUUAUGAGUGAGAACAUGCGGUGUUUGGUUUUCCGUUCCUGUGUUAGUUUGCUGAGAAUGAUGGCUUCCAGCUUCAUCCAUGCCCCUACAAAGGACAUGACCUCAUCUUUUUUAUGGCUGCAUAGUAUUCCAUGGUGUAUAUGUGCCACUUUUUCUUUAUCCAGUCCAUCAUUGAUGGGCAUUUGGGUUGGUUCCAAGUCUUUGCUAUUGUAAAUAGUGCUGCAAUAAACAUACAUAUGCAUGUGUCUUUAUAGUAGAAUGAUUUAUAAUCCUUUGGGUAUAUACCCAGUAAUGGGAUUGCUGGGUCAAAUGGUAUUUCUGGUUCUAGAUCCUUUAGGAAUCGCUACACUGUCUUCCACAAUGGUUGAACUAAUUUACACACCCACCAACAGUGUAAAAGUGUUCCUAUUUCUCCACAUCCUCUCCAGCAUCUGUUGUUUCCUGACUUUUUGAUGAUCGCCAUUCUAACUGGCGUGAGAUGGUAUCUCAUUGUGGUUUUGAUUUGCAUUUCUCUAAUGAUCAGUGAUGAAGAGCUUUUUUUCAUACAUUUGUUGGCCACAUAAAUGUCUUCUUUUGAGAACUGUCUGUUCAUAUCCUUUGCCCACUUUUUGAUGGGGUUGUUUGGUUUUUUUCUUGUAAAUUUGUUUAAGUUCCUUUUAAAUUCUGGGUAUCAGACCUUUGUCAGGUGGGUAGACUGCAAAAAUUUUCUCCCAUUCUGUAGGUUGCCUGUUCACUCUGAUGCUAGUUUCUUUUGCUGUGCAAAAGCUCUUUAGUUUAAUUAGAUCCCAUUUGUCAAUGUUGGCUUUUGUUGCCAUUGCUUUUGGUGUUUUACUCAUGAAGUCUUUGCCCAUGCCUAUGUCCUGAAUGGUAUUGCCUAGGUUUUCUUCUAGGGUUUUUAUGGUUUUAGGUCUUAUGUUUAAGUCUUUAAUCCUUCUUGAGUUAAUUUUUGUAUAAAGUGUAAGGAAGGGGUCCAGUUUCAGUUUUCUGCAUAUGGCUAGCCAGUUUUCCCAGCACCAUUUAUUAAUAGGGAAUCCUUUCCCCAUUGCUUGUUUUUGUCAGGUUUGUCAAAGAUCAGAUGGUUGUAGAUGUCACACCCUCACUUCUAAUCUGACAUUACCUCGCUCCCUCCUCCUGGUCCACUUCCCUAUAAAAGUGAUGCCCUUUGGCAUACACUUCAGAUCAGCACAUCUGUGUCUAGCACUCCAGGCUUCAUCCUUCUUCCCAGCUUUCCCCAGCCUUGUAGUCCACACUGCCUCCUUUGCCAGUCCCAGGGAUGAUAUUCAAACUAUUAGGCAUGCCAUGAACAUGAGCCAAUCAGAGCAGACACCAGCCACAGCAGAGCAGGGACCUGCUGGCUUAUGGAGAGGGCUGCAAAGGGAAGGGGGCAAAUCUAAGAGAAUAGAUGAGAUGGCAGGAAUGAGGCCACUUAGGGGACUGGGGACAGUGACUGCAAUGGAUAUUUCUAAAUUUCUAGUAUUUCAAUCAUUGGCAAGGUCAUAGCAGUGUAUACCGGAUGAAUCUACCAAAGAAGAAAACAUUUUUGGAAUUGCUUUUUAGCUUCAACUGAGAAAUGCAUCUGCUAUUGACUGAAUCUUUGUGCCCCCCAAAAUUCAUCUGUUGAAACCCUAGUCCCCACUGUGCUGGUAUGAUGAGGUGGAGCCUUUGGGAGGUGAUUAAGUUCAGAUGAGCUCAUGAGGGCAAGACCUCCAUGAUGGGAUUUGUGCCCUUAUAAGAAGAGGAGGAGACCAGAGCUCACUCUGUGUCAUGUGAGGACAGUGGGAGAAGGCAGCUGUCUGCAAGCCAAGGAAAGUGGACAUCACCAGAACCCAACCCUGCCGGCACCCCAGUGGCAGAGGUCCAGCCUCCAGAACCAUGAGAUAGAAAUUUCUGUCUUUUAAGCCACCCAGCCUAUGAUAUGUGUUCUAGCAGCCUGACCUAAGACAGCAUUCUAAAGAGACCUGAAAAGAUGCUCGCAUCCUAAAGGGCAUCAAAUUGGUUUCAAAUCCACAGAAUCAACCUAGACUGAAGGCACCCCAGUGCUCAAUUCUUCCCCAGGCUGCCCCAACACAGAGCUCACCAACCAGCCAUAGAAACUGGAACCCCAAAGCUAAGGUGUCAGUCAGCUGAGUGAUCAGUUUCUGGCCUCAGUGAGGGAAGCUGACUUCCAAAUAAAAUCAGGUUUCUGCAAAGAAGACACUGUGCAACCUGUGACAGUACUAGGACACCUGAGCCAGCCCCCCAGAGUCAUAGCUCAGCCACUAAAUGCCUCAGCAGAUAGACCUUUGAACCCAGUUAAGAUAAAAUCUACAGUGCUAAGUGAUAUAACCAUUUAUCAGCUCUAAAGAAUGAAUUAGGAAAGCAGAAAAAGACUGAAUUUGCUAACAAAUCAUAUCAUUUCAUGGGAAGAAUGUAAAUGCUGUUUGCCUAUAUAGCCAUUCACUUUGGCACGUGCCUGUUGCCUAGAGCCUAACACAACCCCUUUCAUCGUUGACCUAGAACCUGGGGUUGGUGAGGAGAGUAACUAUACUCUGAGGACUUCAUUCGUCUCACAUUUCCCCUAUUCGACAAUGUCCAGUGUAUGCCAGACCCACAGAAAGGUCUCAGAAGACUUGUUGAAGGACUAAUGGGUUGAUUGGCUAAGCUAAGCUAUCACAGGAAAGGGACAAGACACUUAGGAGAGUUAUUGUCAAUCUCCUAGAUUCAAAUACAUGUUCCUGUGUACUUAGGAAAGCAAAAUUGAAUUUUCCUUUAACCUAAAGCAUAACAUUAAUAUAAUACUUAACAAAACCACAUACACCUAAAAGGAGCAUCAAAGAUGUAAGAGGAACAUUAUCCCCCUCCAAGGGUACCAUGGGAACACUUUCUUUUUUUUUUUUUUUGAGACAGAGUCUUACUCUGUCAGCCGGGCUGGAGUGCAGUGGCACAAUCUCGACUCACUGCAACCUCUGCCUCCCAGGCUCAAGCAAUUCUCCUGCCUCAGCCUCCCAAGUAGCUGGGAUUACAGUCGUGUGCCACCAUGCCCGGCUAAUUUUUGUAUUUUUAGUAGAGACGGGGUUUCACCGUGUUGGCCAGGUUGGUCUCGAACUCCUGACCUCAGGUAAUCUGCCCGCCUCGGCCUCCCAAAGUGCUGGGAUUACAAGCAUGAGCCACCGCGCCCAGCCAGGAACACUUUCUGAAUAACCUUCUGGUCUCUGCAU